This 206-nucleotide ribosomal RNA is filed under the name uncultured bacterium. RNAcentral describes it as "partial 16S ribosomal RNA". It matches the Rfam family "Bacterial small subunit ribosomal RNA", at positions 568 to 774 of the family's 1533-position model. The record is from RNAcentral.
UGCGUAGGUGGUUUCUUAAGUCAGAGGUGAAAGGCUACGGCUCAACCGUAGUAAGCCUUUGAAACUGGGAAACUUGAGUGCAGGAGAGGAGAGUGGAAUUCCUAGUGUAGCGGUGAAAUGCGUAGAUAUCAGGAGGAAUACCGGAGGCGAAGGCGGCCUGCUGGACAAAUACUGACGCUGAGGCGCGAAAGCGUGGGGAGCAAACA